RNAcentral lists this ribosomal RNA (1179 nucleotides) under Escherichia coli. Its description in RNAcentral is "bacterial LSU rRNA". It matches the Rfam family "Bacterial large subunit ribosomal RNA", at positions 1 to 1212 of the family's 2925-position model. Lineage: Bacteria; Pseudomonadati; Pseudomonadota; Gammaproteobacteria; Enterobacterales; Enterobacteriaceae. The record is from RNAcentral.
GGGUUGUGAGGUUAAGCGACUAAGCGUACACGGUGGAUGCCCUGGCAGUCAGAGGCGAUGAAGGACGUGCUAAUCUGCGAUAAGCGUCGGUAAGGUGAUAUGAACCGUUAUAACCGGCGAUUUCCGAAUGGGGAAACCCAGUGUGAUUCGUCACACUAUCAUUAACUGAAUCCAUAGGUUAAUGAGGCGAACCGGGGGAACUGAAACAUCUAAGUACCCCGAGGAAAAGAAAUCAACCGAGAUUCCCCCAGUAGCGGCGAGCGAACGGGGAGCAGCCCAGAGCCUGAAUCAGUGUGUGUGUUAGUGGAAGCGUCUGGAAAGGCGCGCGAUACAGGGUGACAGCCCCGUACACAAAAAUGCACAUACUGUGAGCUCGAUGAGUAGGGCGGGACACGUGGUAUCCUGUCUGAAUAUGGGGGGACCAUCCUCCAAGGCUAAAUACUCCUGACUGACCGAUAGUGAACCAGUACCGUGAGGGAAAGGCGAAAAGAACCCCGGCGAGGGGAGUGAAAAAGAACCUGAAACCGUGUACGUACAAGCAGUGGGAGCACGCUUAGGCGUGUGACUGCGUACCUUUUGUAUAAUGGGUCAGCGACUUAUAUUCUGUAGCAAGGUUAACCGAAUAGGGGAGCCGAAGGGAAACCGAGUCUUAACUGGGCGUUAAGUUGCAGGGUAUAGACCCGAAACCCGGUGAUCUAGCCAUGGGCAGGUUGAAGGUUGGGUAACACUAACUGGAGGACCGAACCGACUAAUGUUGAAAAAUUAGCGGAUGACUUGUGGCUGGGGGUGAAAGGCCAAUCAAACCGGGAGAUAGCUGGUUCUCCCCGAAAGCUAUUUAGGUAGCGCCUCGUGAAUUCAUCUCCGGGGGUAGAGCACUGUUUCGGCAAGGGGGUCAUCCCGACUUACCAACCCGAUGCAAACUGCGAAUACCGGAGAAUGUUAUCACGGGAGACACACGGCGGGUGCUAACGUCCGUCGUGAAGAGGGAAACAACCCAGACCGCCAGCUAAGGUCCCAAAGUCAUGGUUAAGUGGGAAACGAUGUGGGAAGGCCCAGACAGCCAGGAUGUUGGCUUAGAAGCAGCCAUCAUUUAAAGAAAGCGUAAUAGCUCACUGGUCGAGUCGGCCUGCGCGGAAGAUGUAACGGGGCUAAACCAUGCACCGAAGCUGCGGCAGCGAC